UACAAUCCUACUCUACAUAAAUGAUGAAGUGAAAAGCCAUCUUUAGGUUAGCCAUCUAGCUGAUCCCUUAUAUUCAUCCAUCACGUGAAGAUAUCAUUGCCCUUGUUUGUUGUGAGAAUUCCUGACAUGGUUCUCUGAUUUUGGUGUUUCUUCAGAAAUACCGGCUGCACAACCAGAGGGCGCCUGGAUCUAGCAUGGUGAGCCAGCCAAUCAUGCUUGUGAGAGGGCAACGGGAUUCCCCAAGACAGGAGCAAAGAAAGCUGAUAGUCUGGAUCUCGCCAUGGCCCCGUCCACUUCUCCACCUCGGGCAUCAUCGUCUCGUCGGCAGCCAUAUAUUCCGCUGCGAGGAGAAAGAUGGCCAGUCCAAGAGCUGGAAAUGACGAGGCUUCUACUGCAUCAUCAGUGCGUGGAUAUGAUCGCCGUGAUGGAGGCUACCAAUCACAGUUUCAUGAAUCAAGAGAGAAAUUUGGAGUAGUGUAGUUGUCUGUACACAUACAUAGUUACAUACAGGGAGAUGAGAUGAGAUCAGGCCUUGCACGCCCGAGAUCAAACUAAUGCAACACAUUCCAGGUGCUCAAUUCUGGCAGGCACCAAGGGCCAUGUGAUGCAAUUGCCAUGACGUAUGGGUGGCCUCACCAAACCUAGAAAAAUGUAUCCCACACUUUUAAUCUGGUGUAUAUAUAGAAAAUAAUAUUAUUUUACAUGAAAUUGUUUUACCGAGCAGGGCCGAUCGGUG
Molecule: long non-coding RNA, 736 nt
Filed under: Sorghum bicolor (sorghum)
Lineage: Eukaryota; Viridiplantae; Streptophyta; Magnoliopsida; Poales; Poaceae
Description: long non-coding RNA (SBIC_LNC002158)
Source: RNAcentral